AGCGCUAGGAGAAGAGCUAUGCCUGUCAAAAUAUAGGGAGAAUUAUGGCAAAAUGAAAUAACUCCGCCACUUUCCAUCGACAGUCCGCUCGAUGAAGCUAGGACAGAGCCACCCAACUGUCUGUGCCUCAUGGGGCCAUGCAAUCUGCAUGUCACCCAUGAUGCUGGACCCACAAUAAUUCAAUGAUCUGAUCUGACAAGACCAAAUGUUGGCCAAUGCCAUUCAACAUCUAUAGUAGACUAUGGAGCAGCGGCAACCUUCGCAACCUGCUCUCCAAACUGUGCCCUCCAGCCACAACCAUUAGAACCACUCUCUUGUUCUUGAGAACUCCCCUU
RNAcentral lists this long non-coding RNA (335 nucleotides) under Elaeis guineensis (African oil palm). RNAcentral describes it as "long non-coding RNA (EGUI_LNC035340)". The record is from RNAcentral. Lineage: Eukaryota; Viridiplantae; Streptophyta; Magnoliopsida; Arecales; Arecaceae.